GGAAGUUUUGGCAUUGCCCACAGCCGAGUGACAACACAGCAAGCGGGAAGAGCACAGGAAGGUCAUGGAGUGGUCAGUUUUCUAAAGAGGGACAUGCCAGAAGCACAAACCCAGGCAGGACAUAUUGACUGCACCCUUAAAAGGUCUCUGCUGCAAGAAUUCUUAGUGGGGGGUACUUUCUAGUGCUGGAAUCUCUGCAAUUCAUUCAUUUCAGCUGUGAAGAUACAACUUGAUUGUCCUGUACACUCAUCUGUGGCCUGUUGCAGGUGCACAGCAUUUCUCCAGUAACUUGCAGGUCCACCCCAAAAAGCAGGGCACAGAGCCCUGGGCAACCUCUUGACAGGCUGAUACAUCUCCAUGGCACAACGUGGGGACACACAAAGGAUUUCUCCCAGAUGCUAAGUAAACUGCUACCGUGAGACAGGCCAACCAAAAAGCUGUUCCCCUCACUAAUAAGGGAAAAAGAGGUAAGGAAUGAAUGAAGC
Molecule: long non-coding RNA, 485 nt
Organism: Falco peregrinus (peregrine falcon)
Lineage: Eukaryota; Metazoa; Chordata; Aves; Falconiformes; Falconidae
Exons: 4
Source: RefSeq, a predicted model, not a curated record